Molecule: small nucleolar RNA, 129 nt
Filed under: Dasypus novemcinctus (nine-banded armadillo)
Lineage: Eukaryota; Metazoa; Chordata; Mammalia; Cingulata; Dasypodidae
Description: Small nucleolar RNA SNORA31 (ENSDNOG00000047730.1)
Source: RNAcentral
AUGCAUCUCUGAAAAACCUGGAUCAGUUAAUGUCUGCUGCUAAGGAUUCCCUUAUAGAUGCAAGAAAAAGAAGUUCCUUUUGCUGUCUGUGUGGUUGUUGCAACCAAGAUUGAAAGGGAAAAUACAGGA